This 252-nucleotide small RNA is filed under the name Cohnella phaseoli. RNAcentral's name for it is "BsrG". The record is from RNAcentral. Lineage: Bacteria; Bacillati; Bacillota; Bacilli; Caryophanales; Paenibacillaceae.
UACAAUUGAAUCUUGGGUGGGCAUGGUUUCCCUUCGGAAAGGAGGGAGCCAUGGAAAUAGUAGAUGCAAUCACAAUCAUGAUUCUUUUGGCACAUUUAUCAUUGCACUAUUAACAUACAUCGCGAUUAACUACAAGAGAAAGUAAAAAACCCACCCCAAGGUUAGCGCCAAAGGUGGGUUUUGUCCGUCAUUAACUUGAAGGGAUACCCCAUCCAAGCCAAUUGUAUAGGCCGAGUGUUCGCUGCACUCGGU